This 2006-nucleotide unclassified non-coding RNA is filed under the name Hermetia illucens (black soldier fly). RNAcentral describes it as "ring canal kelch homolog, transcript variant X2". The record is from RNAcentral. Lineage: Eukaryota; Metazoa; Arthropoda; Insecta; Diptera; Stratiomyidae.
UCAAUGUCAAAAAAGUAAUCAUAUUAGAAGCUGGGGGAGAAAAAAAUGCAAGUGAUGUCUACUUAAAAUUCGACGAGCUACCUUGUUAAUUGGUCGUUUGAAAAGCAGUUUCAUUUAACAGUGCACUACAAUACAGUAUACAUACCUUCGGUGAAAUGGGUUCUUUUCCGGGAGAAAGGACAUCAAGUGAAUUCGAACGUGAGGAAUUACUAUUACGAAAGGAAUACACAGAUCGUGAGCACCUCAUUUCCGCUUUUACGGAAAUCAAAGGACUGCGUGAUGCAGAAGAAUUUUGUGACAUAAUUUUGAAAGUGGAAAACAGAGAAGUAAAGGCGCACCGAGUGAUUUUAGCUGCGAGUAGUCCAUAUUUCAAAAACGCAUUCAGCGGUCAGUCAUUGGUCACCAUUGCCAAAUUCAUAGAAUUGCCGCAACAAAGAUAUGAACCCAUAAAAAGCAUCAUCGAUUAUAUUUACACUGGCUGUAUUGAAGUAAAUUUAGAAACUGCAGAGGAGUUAUUUAAAACUGCUGACUUUCUUCAAAUAAAUCGGGUCAAAGACGUUUGUUCUCAUUUUUUGAAAGCAGCAUUGAGCCCAGAGAGUUGCCUACAAGUUUGGAAUAUAACAGGAAACAUUGGACUUAUAGAUAUUCAAAAUGAAGCAACUAAACUGUCGAUUUCAACGAUAGAUCACCUCAUUACUUCCUCAGCUUUUUUGAAUUUAUGUCCAAAAAAGGUCGAAGAGCUACUCGAAAAAUCAACAGAAAUUCCUCGCGCCGAUAAAGUGUAUCGAGCUGUACUUGCCUGGGUGAAACAUGAUUUGAAGAAACGCAAACCACUUUUAAGUAAGCUUCUUCAAUUUAUUCCAUCGGAAAAGAUCACUCGCGAGUUUCUUAGAACGACAGUAAUCAAAGAAACCUUACUAACAGAGGACUUAAAUUGUAUGCUCUGGAUGCAUAAAAUUUUUGUAUCAAUGUUUGAUAUAGUCAAUUCAGAACUAAGUCAGGAAGAAGAUGAAUUAAUGAAUCACAGCAGUGGUCACAUAUACGUUUCUAGCCUACGAGGGAAAUAUUCGACUUUUUACAAAUUCGACACGUUAAGCUCCGAGAUAACCGAUCUGCCUGCUUGCUCAAGGGUCAGGUACAGCCACCCUGUUUUCUACAAUGAAGCCAUUUAUUUCACUGGAGGUUUGGUGAAGUCAGGUUGUAGUAAUAAAUGUGAUCGGUUUAAUGUCAUUGAUGAAUCUUGGGAUGUAUUAACAUUGGAUUGUGAUCGAUAUUAUCAUGGAGCAUGCGUAGUAAAAGAUAACCUCUACGUGGUGGGAGGUUGCAAAGAUCAUCAAAAUUUGAAAACUGUUAAAGUUUAUGAUUUUAAAACUGGCAAUUGGACGAAAGCGGCUGACAUGAAUAUAGCGAGAAAAUUCUUUGGAAUUGUGAAGCACAAUGGGUGCAUAUAUGCAAUUGGUGGAGUAACUGACAAAGCGGAUUCAUCUUCAAGUGUGGAAAUGUUUGAUCAGCGCGAAGGUAUUUGGCAGAAUAUUCCGGCACUUGGGAAAAUAUCAGGCGCAUGUACUGCAGCGGUUGCAUCAAAUCAAAUUUACUGUUCUGGAUUCAGAUCCGGAUUUGUCGAAAGAUUUGAAACAAGAAUGAACAGGUGGACAUCCGUAGCGAACGCAAUAAGUCUUCCAGGAAGUUUAGUAUCAACUAGAGGUGAACUAUACCGAGUAUCGGUAGAUGGUAUUCAGCAUUUUGAAAGCUAUAACAACUGCUGGAAUAAUUCACUUGAUGUUAACAUUUUUUCCACAGAAAUUGUAGCUGUAGCGAACUAACCUGUAAAGAUGAAAAAUAAUUCAAAUUUUCAAUUAAAAUUAUCUUAAUUAGAACUAUCUAUAAUUUCAGUUAACUAGUAUCUGUACUAUAGUUAUAAAUUGUAGUUGAUUUCACCUGGACUUUGCGUUGUUAAAUAAGAAACUCUAGUUUCGAACAUCUCCGCCACAAAAUAUAAUGACUUC